AUGUCUUAAAUGUCUUCCACGGAUAGGCUGAUCAAUGGACUAAUUCAAAACAAUGCACAAUACAGCCAUCAACUUUACACAUAGCACUAGUUAUCCCACCUUGUAGUUCAUAGUAGAAUUCUAAAACCCUUAUUUAUGUUACUACUCAAAAAUAUAAAUUCGAAACAAUGGCGUUGCAAACCAUGCAGUGAAGUAAAAAGGUCGAUAAUACCG
This 213-nucleotide unclassified non-coding RNA is filed under the name Hevea brasiliensis (rubber tree). The record is from RNAcentral. Lineage: Eukaryota; Viridiplantae; Streptophyta; Magnoliopsida; Malpighiales; Euphorbiaceae.